GUGCUCACACUUCGGCAGCACAUAUACUAAAACUGGAAUGAUACGGAGAAGAUUAGCAUGGCCCCAGCACAAGGAUGACAUGCAAAUUUGUGAAGCAUUCCAUAUUUUU
Non-coding RNA from Erinaceus europaeus (western European hedgehog), 109 nucleotides. Lineage: Eukaryota; Metazoa; Chordata; Mammalia; Eulipotyphla; Erinaceidae. The record is from Rfam.